This 1333-nucleotide long non-coding RNA is filed under the name Anas platyrhynchos platyrhynchos (common mallard). Its description in RNAcentral is "lncRNA (ENSAPLG00000024548.1)". The record is from RNAcentral. Lineage: Eukaryota; Metazoa; Chordata; Aves; Anseriformes; Anatidae.
CAAAAGUUUCAAGUUUGCAUAUCUUUUCAGAAAGACCAUGUGGAAGUAUUCCAGCAGUGGCCAAUGCUGCUUUUGAAGGCAGGAGCAAGGAGAAGUAUGAGCCUGGUGAAACAAUUCGCUACCAGUGUCAUGAAGGAUUUCAGGUCACUGGUCUCCCUGAAAUUUUUUGCAGAAGGGGAACUUGGUCAACACCACCAAUCUGUGAAGAUGUUAGCUGUGGACCCCCACCUGAAAUUCUCAAUGCUCAUAUUACCAGCACUCAGCAGCAGAGGUAUCUGCCUGGUGCCAAAGUGCAUUAUGAAUGUGAAAGUAAUUCACAAAUUAUGGGUGUAAAUUAUGUCACUUCUUCAGAUGGACACUGGACAAAAGUGCCAAGUUGCAGAGGUAGGAAUUUGUGCCUUCAUUAUGGCUGUUCGCUUCGUGGGGACUGUUUGGAUUACCUUAAUACUAGAAAGACAUUACCUUUUUUAGUUUUGUUUUCUUUGGGUAAUGCAGCUUUGUACCUACUACUGCUUUCUUGCACAGAACUUUAAUUUAGCUUAAUACUUCUAGAAAUACUAUGGGUAUAUUCAUCAAGAGCAAAAAUAUCUUGAAGAAAAAAGGCCUAGAGUAUGCUGACUUGCUAUUCUUCUCUGCGAUACAAGUAAUUUCCAGAUUACACCAUUUUACUGACCUUCACUAGAAAGAUGUGUAAGGGCUCCUCUGUUGUGUUCAGCGCUGUCAGAGAGUUUCGGAAUGGCAGAAGCAGUAGUGGAGAGAAACAGGAGCUCUUCUCUGAGGCUCCACUAUGACAGAGAUCCCAGCAGAGCCUCAGGAACUAAAACAUGCAGAUCGGCUGGGUUCUGCAAUGGCAAGAAGGUUCCUCUGAAGAGGAGCUGUGCCGUCUUCCUAGUCCCUGCUCAAAUCUGUGGCUGGGGGCUGAACAAGUGCAACGUGGCAGUCAUACACCUCCAUGGAGUCAACUUUACUUACCUGACCCAUGAGUAGUACAGGCUGAUAAUGUCUUCCAGAGCUCUGCAGUUCAGCAGAGAGCCAGCUUGGCUGCUACAUCUGUGAUUCUGAGAAGUGCUCAGGUUCUCAGCAGAGGGCCAUGGCCUUGCAAGGAGGCUUUUUCUGGCAUGUGGUGUAGCUACAGAAAUGUUGGCUUUUUCUAGAAGCUCUCACUGUCGCUGUCAUAUCCUGAGAAUCUGGAAGGUGUUCUGCUGCCAUUGUGAUAUUAAUUUACAUUCCUGGAGCUCACAGUGCCAUAGAAAGCCAAGGAAAAAGGGGAGGGGGAGGGGGAAAUCAAGUCAUGUUGGUAAGGCAAUAUUGUCUCUGGUGCUUAAGAACAUCA